AUCUCUUUCGAGACCCCAGGUCAGUCG
RNAcentral lists this ribosomal RNA (27 nucleotides) under Viola occulta. RNAcentral describes it as "partial 28S ribosomal RNA". Lineage: Eukaryota; Viridiplantae; Streptophyta; Magnoliopsida; Malpighiales; Violaceae. The record is from RNAcentral.